GACGAACGCUGGCGGCGUGCUUAACACAUGCAAGUCGAACGGAAAGGCCCUGCUUUUGUGGGGUGCUCGAGUGGCGAACGGGUGAGUCACACGUGAGUAACCUGCCCUUGACUUUGGGAUAACUUCAGGAAACUGGGGCUAAUACCGGAUAGGAGCUCCUGCUGCAUGGUGGGGGUUGGAAAGUUUCGGCGGUUGGGGAUGGACUCGCGGCUUAUCAGCUUGUUGGUGGGGUAGUGGCUUACCAAGGCUUUGACGGGUAGCCGGCCUGAGAGGGUGACCGGCCACAUUGGGACUGAGAUACGGCCCAGACUCCUACGGGAGGCAGCAGUGGGGAAUAUUGCACAAUGGGCGGAAGCCUGAUGCAGCAACGCCGCGUGCGGGAUGACGGCCUUCGGGUUGUAAACCGCUUUCGCCUGUGACGAAGCGUGAGUGACGGUAAUGGGUAAAGAAGCACCGGCUAACUACGUGCCAGCAGCCGCGGUGAUACGUGGGGUGCGAGCGUUGUCCGGAUUUAUUGGGCGUAAAGGGCUCGUAGGUGGUUGAUCGCGUCGGAAGUGUAAUCUUGGGGCUUAACCCUGAGCGUGCUUUCGAUACGGGUUGACUUGAGGAAGGUAGGGGAGAAUGGAAUUCCUGGUGGAGCGGUGGAAUGCGCAGAUAUCAGGAGGAACACCAGUGGCGAAGGCGGUUCUCUGGGCCUUUCCUGACGCUGAGGAGCGAAAGCGUGGGGAGCGAACAGGCUUAGAUACCCUGGUAGUCCACGCUGUAAACGGUGGGUACUAGGUGUGGGGUCCAUUCCACGGGUUCCGUGCCGUAGCUAACGCUUUAAGUACCCCGCCUGGGGAGUACGGCCGCAAGGCUAAAACUCAAAGGAAUUGACGGGGCCCCGCACAAGCGGCGGAGCAUGCGGAUUAAUUCGAUGCAACGCGUAGAACCUUACCUGGGUUUGACAUGGAUCGGGAGCGCUCAGAGAUGGGUGUGCCUCUUUUGGGGUCGGUUCACAGGUGGUGCAUGGCUGUCGUCAGCUCGUGUCGUGAGAUGUUGGGUUAAGUCCCGCAACGAGCGCAACCCUUGUUCACUGUUGCCAGCACGUUAUGGUGGGGACUCAGUGGAGACCGCCGGGGUCAACUCGGAGGAAGGUGGGGAUGACGUCAAGUCAUCAUGCCCCUUAUGUCCAGGGCUUCACGCAUGCUACAAUGGCUGGUACAGAGAGUGGCGAGCCUGUGAGGGUGAGCGAAUCUCGGAAAGCCGGUCUCAGUUCGGAUUGGGGUCUGCAACUCGACCUCAUGAAGUCGGAGCCGCUAGUAAUCGCAGAUCAGCAACGCUGCGGUGAAUACGUUCCCGGG
Molecule: ribosomal RNA, 1343 nt
Filed under: uncultured bacterium
Lineage: Bacteria
Description: 16S ribosomal RNA
Rfam family: Bacterial small subunit ribosomal RNA
Source: RNAcentral